Molecule: long non-coding RNA, 411 nt
Filed under: Setaria viridis
Lineage: Eukaryota; Viridiplantae; Streptophyta; Magnoliopsida; Poales; Poaceae
Description: long non-coding RNA (SVIR_LNC007802)
Source: RNAcentral
UAGAGUGUUAAGAGAAGGGUAGAUCUGAGAAAGAAAAUUUGUUUCCAGGGGGUAGCUUGCAAGGUUGCUCAGAUUUGUUUUAAUUGGUGGUUUUAAAAUGUUGCAAACUUUGAAAAUACAUAGAAACUUGUAGAAAAAUGCUAAAAAUGUGAUUCUUAUUUUGUUGGUUUCCUUGUGGUAUAUAGUUUAUUUCAAAAAUGAUUUUUGUGCAUGUUGUUGUUUUAUACUUUGUGCUAUGAUUUAUUUUGUGUGGAAGCCAUUAAAUGCUUUAUAGAUCACCUAGUGCACUAAAAAUUGUAAAACUACUUUUGUUAGCUUCCUUGUAACAUGCAUGUUUCAGAUAUAUAACUUGUUUUAGUAGAAUCCUUGUUGUUCCUACUGUUUUAGAGUUCAAUGCUUGCUUGCUAUGUU